CAUAGGUUGAGGAGGCGGUGACCAUGGCGGUGUAGGUGGAAGCGGCGGUGGAGGAGGAGGAUGAGGUAGCCAACACUGUUUUUUUAUAUAUAUAUAUAUAUAUAUAUAUUAAUUAGGGUAGCCCCCAAAAUAUUGGGACAUAUAAAAAAGACAACUCUGUUCCGCAGAGUAGCUGUUGACAUUAUAGUUGCGCAGGUACUUUGUUGACUCUAGAGAACCUCGGGCCAAUCGCACAUCCCCGUUACGGCGGCUUUGCAUUUGAAUGUCAUCCAUAUCAACUUUCCAUGCCAGUUUCUGCACCUACCACGGUGACCACGGGCAACAGGGAAUCAGGGUUCCAUUCCGUACAGGGAUCCUGACAAAUGGCUACCACAUGCAAGGAAGGCAGCAGGCGCGCAAAUGACCCACUCCCAACCCGGGCAGAUAGUGACGACAAAUAACAAAUAACUCUUUAGAGGCCCUGUAAUUGUAAUGAGUCCACUUGAAAUCCUUUAACUCUGAUGGAGGGAAGUGCGCACAGCCGCUACAGUGAAUGUCACAUCCUGU
Molecule: non-coding RNA, 546 nt
Organism: Pelobates cultripes (western spadefoot toad)
Lineage: Eukaryota; Metazoa; Chordata; Amphibia; Anura; Pelobatidae
Source: the annotation of a GenBank genome assembly